Lampris incognitus (smalleye Pacific opah) is the source of this 223-nucleotide long non-coding RNA. RefSeq lists it as uncharacterized. The record is from RefSeq and is a predicted model, not a curated record. Lineage: Eukaryota; Metazoa; Chordata; Actinopteri; Lampriformes; Lampridae. The transcript has 3 exons.
GGGGCCCUGUGUGAGGACCGGCAGCAGCCUGUUUCCCUCCUCACUGGUGAGCAGCAUCUGAGCCUAUGCACUGGUUUUCCCAGAGCCUUCCCUGAUAGAGACAGAUGGUGUCCAUUUAAAAGGACUGGCCUGCAGGAAGUGCUGGGAGGUGUGCUGGAACAGAGUGUGGGAGAGGGCACUCGGGCUCAAGAGGCGUUUCAUACCAGUGUAUUCUGAAUAUUCC